RNAcentral lists this ribosomal RNA (497 nucleotides) under uncultured bacterium. RNAcentral's name for it is "partial 16S ribosomal RNA". It matches the Rfam family "Bacterial small subunit ribosomal RNA", at positions 28 to 507 of the family's 1533-position model. The record is from RNAcentral.
GAUGAACGCUGGCGGCGUGCCUAAUACAUGCAAGUCGAGCGAACGGACGAGAAGCUUGCUUCUCUGAUGUUAGCGGCGGACGGGAGAGAAACACGUGGAUAACCUACCUAUAAGUCUGGGAUAACUACGGGAAACCGGAGCUAAUACCGGAUGAUAUUUUGAACCGCAUGGUUCAAAAGUGAAAGACGGUCUUGCUGUCACUUAUAGAUGGAUCUGCGCUGCAUUAGCUAGUUGGUAAGGUAAUGGCUUACCAAGGCAACGAUGCAUAGCCGACCUGUGAGGGUGAUCGGCCACACUGGAACUGAGACACGGUCCAGACUCCUACGGUAGGCAGCAGUAGGGAAUCUUCCGCAAUGGGCGAAAGCCUGACGCAGCAACGCCGCGUGAGUGAUGAAGGUCUUCGGAUCGUAAAACUCUGUUAUUAGGUAAGAACAUAUUUGUAAGUAACUGUGCACAUCUUGACGGUACCUAAUCAGAAAGCCACGGCUAACUACGUG